This 1797-nucleotide long non-coding RNA is filed under the name Brassica rapa (field mustard). RNAcentral's name for it is "long non-coding RNA (BRAP_LNC005508)". The record is from RNAcentral. Lineage: Eukaryota; Viridiplantae; Streptophyta; Magnoliopsida; Brassicales; Brassicaceae.
AACACCAUAGACACAUGACUUGCUGUUGAAUCGAAAUAUGAUAGGACGGAGAAAAUAUUGGUUCUGAACCAGGUUUGACGGCAGUGAUCAGUUCGAUUUCGAUCUGCUAAUUGGGAGCUGAAGAAAUAUUAAACCAAUAGAUCUUAAUUUCUAAAUAUUAAAAAUUAAAUUAAUUAAACAUAGAUGGUGUGGAAAGGAUUUUUUAAAAUAUAGUGAUUCGUAUUCGCCGUAUCAGAGUUUACAUCAAAGUCGACAGAAUUCGUAUAUAAAUAAGACUAGAGAAAUCAACUACGUGUAAAAAACAAUCGUAAAUAACCAUUAACAUGGCAUCAAUUGAAGAAUAUGCUCGAAAUUAACUAAUAUUUUUCUUUGGCAGUGCUAUUCUACUAUUUUCAGAUUUGAAUAUCUUGAUUAUUCCUGUGCAUAAUAUGAAUACGUAUAUGUGUGUGCGUAUAUAUAUGUUGAAGUAUAUGAUUCAAAUUCACAUCUCAAGGCUCUAAUCACCAUGAGACCUUUUAUAUUGAAGAAUCUAAUACUGUUUGGGAGGCUUUCAAUAAAGUGAUCUCAUGCAACUAAAGAAACUAGUUGCGCAUAGACAGACAAGUGUCGUGUUUUCUUAUCCAUGCAAAUAUCUCAAUAUUUAUUUUGCUUCUUGAUUUUUUUUUUUCGCGUUUCUGAAUUUUGCGGUAAACAGGUUUUACUAAGUUUUUUUAUUUGUAGACACGGGUUUUACUAAGUUAGAUUGUUUUUCAAUAUAAAAUCAAUGAUCGGUACAUAUUCCUUAUAUAUUAUUUAAAUUUUUUUAUCUAAUAUUUAAUUGGAAUUUUGUUUUGAAUAUACUUCUUCAUGAUUCUUUAAACAUUAAUUUUGAAAUAACGAAUAUGGAUCAAUAAACUACUUUUACACUGAAUAAGAUCAAAUUAAUUUAAGUGGACUGAGUUUUAAUAUCAUAUUAGGUUAAAUGUAUAUCUAAUCUAAAACUAAGUGGUAAUGGAUGCAUUAGUUCAUUUUUCUUUAUAUUAUUUAAGACUAAUUUUAAUUUUUAUCUUUAAUAAUGUACUUUUAUUAUAUAAGUAAUUUAGUGCUGUUGUUAAUUGAACAUUUAUACAUAAUCAAACAACAUACACAAUAGAUAUGGCCUUAAAAUAUGAUGCAUAAAUUAAAUUGUUCUUAUAAUAUUUCGUAGCACAUAUAUAGAACACAACUUUUUUCUAAAAACGUCGAUUAUUUUUAGCGAUUCCAUGUAGUUUGAUUUUUUGGGGUAUAACAUUGUGAUUGAUCCAUAGAUUGACUGAUACACUAGUUUAAAAAUUAUCUUCUAUUCAUAAUGGAAAACCAUUAUCAUGAAUUUUAAUGUUUCAAAAAUAAUUAUCAUCAGAAUUUUUUUUAUUUAGUUUGGAAGUACUUUGGAUAUAUGAAAAUACGCGGAAAAAUCUCUAAAGAUAAGCAUAGUUUAGGAAUAAACCUAAAUUUAAAAGUCAUAAAUAAAAAUUUAUAUUUAUGUAGAUAUAAAAGUAAUAUAAUUUAGUGUGCACAUCAAAUAGAUGAACUUGAAACGUGUUGGCAUUUCAAUUCCGUUUUUCAUUGCUUGGCUACGUCCAGAUUAUGAAUCCUAUACGUCAUUGAAAAUUAUUCAUGAAAUUAUAAGUAUAUUGGUUGAAAUCAUAUAGUUUAUCUAUUAUUACAAAUCUUAUGAAUACGAAAUACCUAAUAACCAUUUCUUAAAAGUAUUAGGCUGAAUAUAAACAAAAAGAUCUUGAAAUAUAAGCUUUUUGAGGUUUGGAGGACGCAACAAAU